This 803-nucleotide long non-coding RNA is filed under the name Pongo abelii (Sumatran orangutan). RNAcentral describes it as "lincRNA". Lineage: Eukaryota; Metazoa; Chordata; Mammalia; Primates; Hominidae. The record is from RNAcentral.
UCAGCAGACUACAAGAAGCAGAGCCACCCUCAAUCUCAGUAGACACCAUCUAAUCAGCUGCCAGCAAGGCUAGAAUAAAGCAGGCAGGAGAAUAUGGAAGAGCAGACUUGCUGAGACUUCUGGCCUUCAUCUUUCUCUUGUGGUAGAUGCUUCCUGCCCUCGAACAUCAGACUCCAAGUUCUUCAGCUUUUGGAAUCUUGGACUUAUAUUGGUAAUUUGCCAGGGACUCUCGGGCCUUUGGCCACAGACUGAAGGCUGCACUGUUGGCUUCCCUAUUUUUGAGGUUUUGGGACUCGCACUGAUCCACCACUGGCUUCCUUGGCUCCUCAACUUGCAGCCAGCCUAUCAUGCGACUUACCUAGUGAUCAUGAAUGCUGUGACCUCUGAGAUAAUUCACCCACCGCAGUCAGACUGCUGAAGAACAUUGGAUGGGUGGAAAAGGAACAUCUCAACCAGGAGAGAAGGAACUGAGUCAAGAAAGGGCUGCAUCUGGUGACCAUGUCUCUCCUAGUGAUGGAACCCAGGGCUGCUGCAGCCAAGAGCCUAUUACAGUGGAGACGCCUUGACCAAAGCCCCAGAGCCCUUGAGUUGUCUGUCCCCCUCCUCUGACAUGAUGGGUAAUCUGAUGGAAGCUCUGAGAGGCACUGCCUAGAAUUAAGCCCUAUGUGUAAACAAAGCAAGGGAGAAAGAACAUGUGCUAUCAAAUAUGAUUCAUGAUUCAAAUAUAUUUUAAUAUCUUAUUCUUUUCACACUCUGAGAAACUAUUCUGAUAAUGUGAUUGUUUUGUAAAGGAGUGUAUCUUC